Dama dama (fallow deer) is the source of this 669-nucleotide long non-coding RNA. RefSeq lists it as uncharacterized. NCBI's taxonomy places the organism in Eukaryota, Metazoa, Chordata, Mammalia, Artiodactyla, Cervidae. The transcript is spliced from 2 exons. The record is from RefSeq and is a predicted model, not a curated record.
GCGCAGGGGCGGGUCCGGUGGCGGACGGGAGAUUCCCUGGUGAAGGAGGUCGGACGGGGGUUGGGAGCCAGGAUAGAGGGCUCUACUGAAUGAGGAAGAUCGUGGAGGAACGCAGUACUCGGCGCUGAUUGGAUAGCCGGUGGCGCCAAAUCCCGGGGUUAAGGCACCUGUUGUAAGACCUAGUCUUCUGCGCGGUUUCCUCCCUCGUCUCCGCUCCCUUGGCCAAUGAGAAGCCAAGGGGCAGUCGUCUUUCCGUUGGAAUUAUGCGGUGGGGAAAGAAGCACUGACCUAAACACUUCCUACCAGCUCUUACCACCUGCACGUGUUCCCAAAUGAAAGCCUGGCGCGCAGUACCUGGCUCCCUUCGUGGAUAUCCAGCUAGAGUAAGGACGCUAACAAAAAUAUAGCUUUGCGUAAUCUUGUCCCUAAGUGGGAAUUGUGAACAGUGAUGGUUACCUGGAGCGUUGCAGGUUUUUUUUUUUUAGAAUCAAUAGAAUCGUUUAGGUUUGAUUGUACAAUGUAGGUUGCCAAAUUGCCCAAAUCAACUGGUAUUAACUGAUUUAAUAGGUAGCUGAUGUAAUCGGAUUGUUAUCAUACUAUGGAUGAUUAUUAACUAUGUGGAGCACAGCUAAAGUAAAUAAAAUUUACACAAGAGAUAAAUAAAAAAUA